This 326-nucleotide long non-coding RNA is filed under the name Trifolium pratense (red clover). RNAcentral describes it as "long non-coding RNA (TPRA_LNC005507)". The record is from RNAcentral. Lineage: Eukaryota; Viridiplantae; Streptophyta; Magnoliopsida; Fabales; Fabaceae.
AUAGGGUUCGUCGGUAAAAGUGUCGAAUUUGAGUGCAACCCAGAUACAGAAACGAAGACCUUGUAAGUUGGAAGAUACGGAAAAUGAUCGGAGAGAAUUGUUAGUGGUUCGGCGGAAGGCGGAGGAGCAAGGAGAGAAUGAUUUCUUGAACUUGGAGAAGAUCAACAUUGCUUAUGGGUAGCGUCAAUCAGAAUUCAUGGGCGGAGGAAGGGCGAGUAGCGGCGGAUUGCGGUCGUUUGUGUCGGCAGUGGCGCCACAUAUGCCUUGUUGUUUGUUCUUCAGGGUUUAAGGGUUUUGGCCAAGAAUUGACUUAGAAUGAAUACGGU